AACUUUCAACAAUGGAUCACUUGGUUCUCGCAUCGAUGAAGAACGCAGCGAAACGCGAUAGUUAAUGUGAAUUGCAGAAUUCAGUGAAUCAUCGAGUCUUUGAACGCACAUUGCGCCCCUCGGUAUUCCGGCGGGCAUGUCUGUUUGAGCGUCAUUACGAACCCCCUCGGCCGGUCAUUUUUGGUGCCCGGCCGGUUAUGGGCCGACUUAACCGGCCUCUCAGGAGGCCCGGUCGGCUUUAAAUAGACGCUACGCGAGCGGUCCGACCCGAAGAACAUGGUAGAUUCGUUUUUGCUGUUCCCCAAGGUCGCGGCCGACACCGCCUGAAAAUAACCGAUCACAAGGUUUGACCUCAGAUCAGACAAGGAUACCCGCUGAAUUUAAGCAUAUCAAUAAGCGGAGGCU
Molecule: unclassified non-coding RNA, 405 nt
Filed under: uncultured Orbiliaceae
Lineage: Eukaryota; Fungi; Ascomycota; Orbiliomycetes; Orbiliales
Description: sequence contains ITS2
Rfam family: 5.8S ribosomal RNA (bases 1-154)
Source: RNAcentral